Molecule: long non-coding RNA, 1070 nt
Filed under: Glycine max (soybean)
Lineage: Eukaryota; Viridiplantae; Streptophyta; Magnoliopsida; Fabales; Fabaceae
Description: long non-coding RNA (GMAX_LNC003719)
Source: RNAcentral
GUAACUCAAACAAUUUUCAGAAUUUAGUCCCCCUCCGACUUGCAGACCACCUAAAUAUUACCAGUCCUCCACAUUAAAUUGAGCGGAGGAAAAAUCUAAAAGUUUUAAAGAUAUCGGGUGAGUUUGGUACUUUGGUUAAGCUUUUUUUUUAAAAGAAAAAAGCACUUAUUUUAUAAUAAAAAAAGCGCUUAUUAUAAAAUUUUAGAUGUUUGUAUAAACUUAUUUUAAAAAGCAGAAGCUGAAAAUAAGCUGGUGGGGAAGCAAUUUUGCAAAAACACGGAAGACACUCCUAUGGAAGAUGUAUGACACAAAUACCCCGGUUUUUAACGCACUCUUCCAACCUUCAUUUAGUGGUUUCCAUCUUCUCCCAUCGAGAGACCUAGCACCUGGUGUCGCUCCGCAACAGUCGCCUGGUUACCUCCGCUAUAGUCUCCCUCCCAAUUCAUGCGAGUUCAUAUUAAUUUAGAACGAAAUCCCUAAUUUGGUUUGUACAUGUUUGUUGCUUGGGUUAAUUUAGAAUGAAAUCCCUAAUUUUGUUUGUGAUUGUUGUUUGAAAAUUGGGGGUUCUUGAUCUAGAUUAUGUUAUAUAGGGAACAAGUGAGAAUUUUCUGCUGCAGUGUUGUGUAUGUAGUGUGUGGUUUCAAUUGUUGGCUGGUGGGGGUAAUUUGCACACCAAAUCCUUCAUGGAUGUGGUUCAAGGCAAAGGCUUUUCUUCAUCUUUUUAUGAUUGUCCGAAUAUCCAGCUUUAGUAUUUCAACAUUUUGAUCCAUUCUUAAGCUGGUCUUUGGAGAUUUGAUUUUUUGAUGAUUCUGGGAGUUGGGAUGAUUGAAGGCAAAUCACAAUUUAUUGUUGAGUGGGGCGAGCAACACUAAUAUUUUGUUUUAUUUUCUUUUGUUGCAUCAAUGUUAUCAAAUAUUUUAUUUGGGGUUUGAACCUUUGAGGUUAGCUACUUAAUUUUCUGGUUUGCUGCAUCUAUGUUAUCAAAUAUUUUAUCGACGUUUCAUUAAGGGAUAUGCUUCGAUUGCGGCUCCUUUAACCAAGCUAUUGGCGAAGGACCAAUUCCAGUGGAC